AAGGUCGGGGAUGACGUCAAGUCAUCAUGGCCCUUACGGCCUGGGCUACACACGUGCUACAAUGGUCGGUACAAAGGGUUGCCAAGCCGCGAGGUGGAGCUAAUCCCAUAAAACCGAUCGUAGUCCGGAUCGCAGUCUGCAACUCGACUGCGUGAAGUCGGAAUCGCUAGUAAUCGUGAAUCAGAAUGUCACGGUGAAUACGUUCCCGGGCCUU
This 214-nucleotide ribosomal RNA is filed under the name uncultured Pseudomonas sp. RNAcentral describes it as "partial 16S ribosomal RNA". It matches the Rfam family "Bacterial small subunit ribosomal RNA", at positions 1170 to 1382 of the family's 1533-position model. The record is from RNAcentral. Lineage: Bacteria; Pseudomonadati; Pseudomonadota; Gammaproteobacteria; Pseudomonadales; Pseudomonadaceae.